Long non-coding RNA from Limulus polyphemus (Atlantic horseshoe crab), 661 nucleotides. RefSeq lists it as uncharacterized. The transcript has 2 exons. NCBI's taxonomy places the organism in Eukaryota, Metazoa, Arthropoda, Merostomata, Xiphosura, Limulidae. The record is from RefSeq and is a predicted model, not a curated record.
UGCAUUUCUUUGGUUUGCUGACUCAAGCUGUGCUAAUGAGACUUGAAUGGGUGAAACUGCAGGCCAAGGAAGAAGAAAGGGAAAUCUCCGAAGCUGCAGAGCAACUGGGAAGGUCUUUAUGAAAUCACAAAGAAGUUUUCAAAUGCCACGUACUGGAUAAAGGGUGGAUACUAGAAAAUGCCAAAGAUGAUCCAUAUGAAUUGGACUUAAAGGUACUAUGGUCCUGUGGUAUACACUUUGAGCAGAAACUCUGGAGGCCAGUGAAAUGGUGAAAGAGCUUACAUUCCAAGUGAACCCGGUAAAGACAGGGCUUGUUGCUCAACAACCCCUAGAGUCACUUUAGCCCUACCUGGAGGUUAAGAGCAAGUGCUUUGAAGAUCUACUAAUCUACUUGGAAGCAAAGAAAACCUCACCAUUUUGGUUGGGAGAGAAAGAAUGUACACUACCAUUAAUGUAAAUUGUUGUUGUACUUAUUUAUUUGUAAUUUCACUGGGUUGGUUGAAAUUUAGGCACAUGGCAGUGUUGUGAACAUUGGUUUGUUUUUACAUGUAUCUGAAUUAUAUUACUGCUUGUUGAAAUUACCCAUUUUGUAAAUGAUUUUGGAAGAAAGGGCACUGUAUAUGUUAACAUAGUUUGGUAAAUAAAAUGGAUAUAAACUGUA